This 885-nucleotide non-coding RNA is filed under the name Homo sapiens (human). Lineage: Eukaryota; Metazoa; Chordata; Mammalia; Primates; Hominidae. The record is from RNAcentral.
AUGCAGAUCGUUUUCAGAAACAUGGUAUGGAUGAGUUUAUUUCUGCAAACCCCUGCAAGCUUGAUCAUGCCUUCCUUUUUAGAAUACUCCAGAGGCAGACUUUGGAUCACAGACUGAAUGAUUCCUAUUCUUGCUUGGGAUGGUUUAGCCCUGGCCAAGUCUUUGUGUUAGAUGAGUACUGUGCCCGUUAUGGUGUGAGAGGCUGUCACAGACAUCUCUGCUACCUUGCAGAACUGAUGGAACAUUCAGAAAAUGGUGCUGUCAUUGACCCUACCCUGCUCCAUUACAGCUUUGCAUUCUGUGCCUCUCAUGUGCACGGCAACAGGCCUGAUGGAAUUGGGACUGUUUCAGUGGAAGAAAAAGAAAGAUUUGAGGAGAUAAAAGAGAGACUCUCUUCCCUUUUAGAAAAUCAGAUAAGCCAUUUCAGAUACUGUUUUCCCUUUGGACGACCUGAAGGUGCUCUAAAAGCUACACUUUCAUUACUUGAAAGGGUUUUAAUGAAAGAUAUUGCCACUCCCAUACCAGCAGAAGAGGUGAAGAAAGUGGUCAGAAAAUGUCUCGAGAAAGCUGCCUUGAUCAAUUACACUAGACUCACAGAAUAUGCCAAAAUAGAAGAGACCAUGAACCAGGCAUCUCCUGCUAGAAAGCUGGAAGAGAUUCUUCAUCUGGCAGAGCUCUGCAUAGAAGUCUUACAGCAGAAUGAAGAGCAUCAUGCAGAGGGAAGAGAGGCAUUUGCCUGGUGGCCUGAUUUAUUGGCUGAACAUGCAGAGAAAUUUUGGGCUUUAUUUACAGUGGAUAUGGACACUGCACUAGAGGCUCAACCGCAAGACUCCUGGGAUAGUUUUCCUCUUUUCCAACUGCUUAAUAAUUUCCUCCGAAAUGACA